AUUACACAAUUCGAAUUUAGAUAUACGAUCGAUGAUCAAUUGUAUUCAUUGUCCAUCCAUGAACAACUUUACACAAUCGCACCUCUGGUCAUCCAGUAAGUUAAACUGCUAAUAGAGAUAACUUCAAUUCAAUGUUGUUGCCAGAUAAUGCUGUGAGUGAAGGUAUGUUCAACUCAGUUGUAAAUAAUACCUAAGUACUUUUAAAUUGAUGAGUCACCUACAAUAUUCUUCGAAC
Molecule: long non-coding RNA, 235 nt
Organism: Ostrinia nubilalis (European corn borer)
Lineage: Eukaryota; Metazoa; Arthropoda; Insecta; Lepidoptera; Crambidae
Exons: 3
Source: RefSeq, a predicted model, not a curated record